This 414-nucleotide unclassified non-coding RNA is filed under the name soil metagenome. RNAcentral describes it as "partial contains 5.8S ribosomal RNA, internal transcribed spacer 2, and large subunit ribosomal RNA". The stretch from base 1 to 122 matches the Rfam family "5.8S ribosomal RNA", at positions 35 to 154 of the family's 154-position model. The record is from RNAcentral.
GAUGAAGAACGUAGCGAAAUGCGAUACUUGGUGUGAAUUGCAGAAUCCCGUGAACCAUCGAGUCUUUGAACGCAAGUUGCGCCCGAAGCCGUCAGGCCGAGGGCACGCCUGCCUGGGCGUCACACGCCGUUGCCCCCCCCCGCGCCCCGCACCCAACUCUUUGGGAGCGACCGCGGGGCGGGCUGAUGAUGGCCUCCCGUGCGCUCCGCCGCGCGGUUGGCCCAAAUACCGAGUCCCCGGCGACGUGCGCCACGACGAUCGGUGGUUGAGAGACCUCUGUCGCAAGUCGUGCGCGCCCGUCGCGUCACGCGGGCUCGCAUAGCGCCUCGCGCCGCACCCGGUGCGGAGCUUUCAACGCGACCCCAGGUCAGGCGGGGUUACCCGCUGAAUUUAAGCAUAUCAAUAAGCGGAGGA